This is a non-coding RNA of Erythranthe guttata (spotted monkey flower), 732 nucleotides long. The record is from RefSeq and is a predicted model, not a curated record. Lineage: Eukaryota; Viridiplantae; Streptophyta; Magnoliopsida; Lamiales; Phrymaceae.
AUAACAAAGAGCAACAGUUGACCAAUUAGAAAUAUACGGCAAGUCUUCAAUGGAUUUAUGAAUGUCAAUUUAAGUGGAUUCAUGUGGUGUAGGACCCAAAUUCAUUUGAAGUAAGUAGAUAAUAGUUUUAAUUAAUGUCAUCUCUGGUUCUUUUUUGCAGGGAAGAACAACACUAUAUGAUUGCUCCUCUGCUACAAAAUCAAGAUCACUUAUGGUGGUGUUGUCGGAGGCAUGCACCUUGGUUCAUCAGCCUUGGGCAUUCUUCCGGUUCUUGAACAAGAAACUGAUUAAAAACACUGUUUAUUUCUUUCACUUCAUUCGGCAAUUUUCUGCUGCUUUGUUGCACACAGAGUUGUACUCAAGCAGAUCAUUCGAGAUUUGGUCAUAUGAAGACUAAUCUGACUCGUCCUUCUUUUGUUUACUCAUAUGAAGAUUUGGUUAAUGAUGCAGAAUAACAAGCGAGGAAGGAACCUUUAGCGGGAUUGACUGAGUAGCACCAAGCACUUUCUUAGUCAAGGUGGAUUGAUCAGGGAAAAAUGAUGGUCAGUUACAGUGGAAAAGAGGCUAUCUCAAGGCACUUGAGAUACUUGUUAAAAGUACAAAGGAGGUUGUGAGGAGGAAUUCGCUCCACUGAAGGAAGGACAGUGUAUUUUUAUAUUUUUUAAUGCAAGUUUCAAUUUAAUUUGUAUGUGAAAUGGUACGAUAUAUUGCAAUACAAUUGUAUUUCCGAAA